Hipposideros armiger (great roundleaf bat) is the source of this 968-nucleotide long non-coding RNA. RefSeq lists it as uncharacterized. The record is from RefSeq and is a predicted model, not a curated record. The transcript is spliced from 4 exons. Lineage: Eukaryota; Metazoa; Chordata; Mammalia; Chiroptera; Hipposideridae.
CAUUCAUCAUAGGUACCCAUCCAUCAAUUCCUAGACGAGUUCACAGGUGAGAGAGCUCACAGGUGGAGCGCUAUGGAUGAAGGCUACAGUCUGAGCUGGGAAGAAAGGGCGUGGACCCCUGCAGGAAGGAUGGAGUUGUGGCACCCCAAUUCUCCCAGACCUGGAGUCCAAAGGCCUGCGGUGGAGCCCUGCGACAUUGAACUCUGAGGCCUUGAGCUAGACACUUAGCUAUGAGCCUCAGUUUCCUCAUCUGUGAAGAAGGAACUGCAUCCAGUAUCCCAGAGGACUGAAGGCCAUCAUCUAUGCCUGGGAUGGCUGGGUGAGGAGGGCAUGCCAUGCUGCACGUGGAACUGCUUUGUAAACAGUUCAGCUCUGAAGUGGACGCUCAGCUUGGCGCUAGAGAAAUCUGCCUUGCAGCCAGCUGCCCCUUCAGUCUUGCAGCCAAACCUCUGCAAAGUCAUCCCAGCCAAGGAGAGGCAAAAAUCCUGGCCAGGAAUCCAGUGGCCAAGAGAAGAGGGGCUUCCCGGGUCUAUCCCUCAGCUGGAGUGUCAUGCACCUUGCUGGUCCUGGCCUUCAGAGACAAGAGGAGGAGCCUGGUCCGAAAGACUAUUCCUGACAGAGGGCUCCAGACUGGGGUCCUGGACCCAAAAGACUGCACAGGGAGACCCCGCCCAGACCCGGAAAGACCUCAAGAGGAAGCUUCAGACCUAAAGAUCCUCAGAUCCUGAGAGACCCCAAGAGGAUUGUCCAGAUGCAAAACAAAACUUGAUGGUAUCUGGGGGGACUUCAGGCCCUAAGACCCACUGUGGGCAUCAUACACGAAGAUCCCACAAACCCAGAGCCAAGUUUGUGGGUGCAGUGCCCCUCCACACUGACCUGGCCCUGCAGGGGCCUUUCCCAGGCUGAGCUGCCGCAGCCGUCUCUGGUGGGCCCGCCCCUCACAGUGCACCUGGGCCUGGGCUGCUGAG